Molecule: ribosomal RNA, 424 nt
Filed under: uncultured Glomus
Lineage: Eukaryota; Fungi; Glomeromycota; Glomeromycetes; Glomerales; Glomeraceae
Description: bacterial SSU rRNA
Rfam family: Eukaryotic small subunit ribosomal RNA
Source: RNAcentral
ACUCGUAGUUGAAUUUCGGGAUCAAUUAUUGGUCGUGCUAUUGUACGUACUGGUAUUAUUGAUUCCUACCUUCUGACGAACCAUGAUGUCAUUAAUUUGGUGUCAUGGGGAAUCAGGACUGUUACUUUGAAAAAAUUAGAGUGUUUAAAGCAGGCUCACGCUUGAAUACAUUAGCAUGGAAUAACGGAAUAGGACGUUUGAUUUUUAUUUUGUUGGUUUCUAGGAUCGACGUAAUGAUUAAUAGGGAUAGUUGGGGGCAUUAGUAUUCAAUUGUCAGAGGUGAAAUUUCUUGGAUUUAUUGAAGACUAACUACUGCGAAAGCAUUUUCCAAGGAUGUUUUCAUUAAUCAAGAACGAAAGUUGGGGGCUUGAAGACGAUCAGAUACCGUCCUAGUCUCAACCAUAAAAGAUUCUGGCACCUUAUG